GGAUGUGGGGGAAAACAAGAUGAAAGUUUAGGCACUAAUGUUUGUUUUCACUUCUACUCAACACAAUUUAGUGUUGGUUUAUAUUAAAUGCAAAGAUAAGCUAGAGUUUGUGUAGCAUCGGGCUAACAAUCGGUUCCCUUUUCUUCCAGUGCUGAAAGGUGGUCCUUUCUCUGACAGCUACAGGCUCUUUCAGUUCCAUUUUCACUGGGGCAGUACAAAUGAGCAUGGUUCAGAACAUACAGUGGAUGGAGUCAAAUAUUCUGCCGAGCUUCACAUAGCUCACUGGAAUUCUGCAAAGUACUCCAACCUUGCUGAAGCUGCCUCAAAGGCUGAUGGUUUGGCAGUUAUUGGUGUUUUGAUGAAGGUUGGUGAGGCCAACCCAAAGCUGCAGAAAGUACUUGAUGCCCUCCAAGCAAUUAAAACCAAGGGCAAACGAGCCCCAUUCACAAAUUUUGACCCCUCUACUCUCCUUCCUUCAUCCCUGGAUUUCUGGACCUACCCUGGCUCUCUGACUCAUCCUCCUCUUUAUGAGAGUGUAACUUGGAUCAUCUGUAAGGAGAGCAUCAGUGUCAGC
This 574-nucleotide small RNA is filed under the name Pan troglodytes (chimpanzee). Its description in RNAcentral is "retained intron". The record is from RNAcentral. Lineage: Eukaryota; Metazoa; Chordata; Mammalia; Primates; Hominidae.